AGCGAACGCUGGCGGCAGGCUUAACACAUGCAAGUCGAGCGGGCACCUUCGGGUGUCAGCGGCAGACGGGUGAGUAACACGUGGGAACGUACCCUUCGGUUCGGAAUAACGCUGGGAAACUAGCGCUAAUACCGGAUACGCCCUUAUGGGGAAAGGUUUACUGCCGAAGGAUCGGCCCGCGUCUGAUUAGCUAGUUGGUGGGGUAACGGCCUACCAAGGCGACGAUCAGUAGCUGGUCUGAGAGGAUGAUCAGCCACACUGGGACUGAGACACGGCCCAGACUCCUACGGGAGGCAGCAGUGGGGAAUAUUGGACAAUGGGCGCAAGCCUGAUCCAGCCAUGCCGCGUGAGUGAUGAAGGCCUUAGUGUUGUAAAGCUCUUUUGUCCGGGACGAUAAUGACGGUACCGGAAGAAUAAGCCCCGGCUAACUUCGUG
This 435-nucleotide ribosomal RNA is filed under the name uncultured bacterium. RNAcentral's name for it is "partial 16S ribosomal RNA". It matches the Rfam family "Bacterial small subunit ribosomal RNA", at positions 29 to 507 of the family's 1533-position model. The record is from RNAcentral.